GUUACGUAAUAAAUGGAUGCUGCCUUUGAUAUUUUUCAAAAUUGCCUAAAAGACUUCUGAAGGACUGAAAACAAACCAUCAGCCAUUAAAAAUAAUGCAAUGCAUAAUCAAAAUCAUUGCCGGGGCCCGUAGCGUAUUGGCUACACGUUCACUUCAUAAGUGGAUGGUCAUUAGGCCGUCCCUUAUUUUGCAAAAUUUAGAAAUGUUAUAAGUUCGUUAGUGGAAAAUGAUCGUUUUAGCUAAAAAAUGAUCGUGUCAAAAUUUGAAGUCCGUAUCUCAAGGCUAAGUAGUCCCUCAAGAGGCCUAAAGUUGUCAAAAAUUGUAUGGGACCAAAAAAACAUGAAUUUUUUUUCGACAAAAAAAUACGCUAUUCUACUAAAACCGGUGAUUUUAGGACCCUGAAGGGCCAAAAAUGUGCUUAGAUUUGCGAUAUCUCUACUCGUUUUUGAGUUAUUGAACAAAAUAAGGUAAAUUUCCUUCGGAAUCUAAAAAAAUGGUCAAAAAUGCUGAUUUUUCAGUUGUUUUUUUGUCAAUAUCUUGGAAACGAGUAGAGAUAUCGCAAAUCUAAGCACAUUUUUGGCCCUUUAGGGUCCCAAAAACACCGGUUUCAGUGGAAUAGCGUAUUUUUUUUGUCGAAAAAAAUUUCAUGUUUUUUUGGUCCCAUACAAUUUUUGACAACUUUAGGCCCCUUGAGGGACCACUUAGCCUUGAGAUACGGACUUCAAAUUUUGACACGAUCAUUUUUUAGCUAAAACGAUCAUUUUCCACUAACGAACUUAUAACAUUUCUAAAUUUUGCAAAAUAAGGGACGGCCUAAUGGUCAUGGGUUCGAUCCCAGCCCCGGCACUUGCAAUUUUUCGUCAGUUACUCUUCCCCCCGAGAGCGGCUGGCACCUGACCCUCUUCAGAGCAUAUGCUCCAACGGACCCGAAAACCUGGAUAUCGGCUAACGGCAACUCGUAAUGGACCCCCAAUCGGACUGGAAAAGGAACAAGAGCCACACAUCAACAUCCCCGUGCUCAUCAUUCUACCAUGAUAGGCUAGAAAGUGAAAGUAGCGCAACGGAAUCCAGUUCGAUCUAGUAGAAUUAUAAUAGAAUACAUUUAGGCGCUGUACAAAGUGUAAGUACAGCAUCCAAUUGGAAUCGCUCACGCAGUGCCCUAGUGGACAAUAGAGCUGUAAAUUAGGUUAAGUAAUUGAAGAAUAAAAAUAAUCAAAAUCACUUGUUGCCAAAACAUUGUCAUCUGUCCAGAUGUAGUUGUGGAGCAAGUGAGGAUUUAUUAUUGAUGUUAUUCCUUUACAUGUUACAUAUUAAGCACCAUCGCGCAAUCUGUAUAUUAACUUUUUUUUCACAAGUAUCAAAUCGCUUUGCGGUCUUUGACGAAGCUUUUAGCACAUCUAAGGCUAUAUCUUAACAUCAUCGGUUAUAUAGUUGAAGAAAAAUUCAAGACCUUUAUGAAAAAAAAAAUGCAAGAGUGAGUGUUCUCAUAAAAAUUUCAAUCGCAUUGCAAAAUACGGGGACGCAUCCAAAUUUUGCACAGUUGUUUAAAAAAAAAGACACUACACCGUCUUCAACCAGAGGUUGUACAGACUGAACAAACACUAACAACGGACAACACACAUAAAACCCAGUGGAGAAUUUUCCGUUUGACGAAAAGUUUUCCCCGACUGGAGCGGGAAUCGAACCCACACUCCGAGGCUUACGAAACGUCUAGAACACUGACGCCUCUAGCCGCACGGUCACGAAGCCCACAUGCAUAUUGUCUGAAAAAACUUUGUUCCGGGUUGAUGUGAUCAAAUUUAAAUUUUCCCAUACAACGUUAACCCACUCUAAUAACUAUUUUUUAGUUUAUUGACCAGAACAUAAAAAUUCAGUUUACAACUACGCUUCUUUGCAACGUCGCCUCGUGGGAGAAAAGUCGUACCCUUUGUGUGGCUCAGUUGAACAGUAGGUACAGAGUAUUUAGUGUACUCGGUCAAUAGGGCGAUUAUAUUUUCCUUCCAUAAACGUAUUAUUAAUCUUUCCACGGAGACAGGCCGGACCGGGCACUUGUGUCGUGUGUGCCCCAAGGUACGCAUAUGCGGCCGCCGUAGCUAGUCAUUUUUAUUUCAUCCACUUUGUCGCAUGCUCCAUCAUCGACGCGACGAAGACGGGUGUGUUCGGAGCGCGCGCGCCUUCGGAGGCCUAAUGCUUAACUACGACUUGUAGGCAGUGGUCUUGAUUGAUUAGUUAGUUAGUUCGCCGCCAGAUUUGCCCACACGGCGGCUGGGGUGGAAGUGGCAACGAUCAUCAUCACGCUGCGGUUGCUGAUGGCUGCUGGCUGGGUCGGUGAUUUGUCACUCGCUUGCCCGCAUAAUAUGUGAAGCGGUAUUUGUAUUAGGGAAACUGGGUCAUUAAGGGAGCUUUUAAAUCUUGAUGAGAGGCGUCUUAGCGAGCUGCAUGUAGCUGAAGGUGAGAACGCGCAGCUUUUCAGCAGGGGUGUCUGGGUUCGAUUUCUGGUUCUGGUCGUAUCUAAUCUUUUCGUAUUAGAAAUUUCCUUGGUUUUUACGUACAUAGAGUAUCAUCGUGCUUGACAUUCGAUAUGCAAAAAUCUUCAGCUGAUAAUGAAAAGCUGCCCCUAUCCGUACCAGUAACUGUGCAACUCAAAUCAGUUACAUUAUGAACAUCUCUCUCUCUCUCUCUCUCCUAACUAAGGCAACAGUAAGACUAUGGAGAAGAUGAUUAGGCAAUCCUUAAUUGAACCAAAAAAAGUUCUGAACUGCAUAACUCUAUGCUUAUAAAGUUGUAAAGUACUCGAUAUUUGUGAAAUACGUGUCUGAUUUAAAAGUCUUGUUCUAUGUGAAAUGUGAAAUCGUGUAACCGCUUCAAGAAAGAGAUUUACAUGAGAAAUCUUCAUCAAAGCGACCAAUCGCUAAUACUUCAAAGUCAGCUAGACUUUAGUGUUGAGCUUUCAAUAGAUCACAACCAAAGCCAAUUGAUUAAUACUUGGAAUGAGCGGAUCUCAUCGCAGUUCCUUUGAACGAUUUGUAGCACGCUAAAGAGCAGUCAACCCAAUAAAAAUAUGCACAAAAACGAUCUUCACGGUCAGUAUGCAUUCCACAACGAACAACGGAAUCCCUUCACAGUAGAGCAAGGCAAAACAAUAUUCAAUACGAGCCGGUCGGUAUGUAAACGUUAGUCCCCUUGGCUCUUCUUCAAACCCGUAUUGGCCGCUAGCAACAACAUUGCACACAGAACAUAAUCUACCAUGACUGCGACGAAGAUGACGGACGAUCUAUCUUCUUCCAUUUCAUCAAAUAAGCGCAAAGACCUCCACAAAAGCAGAAGAAAACGACGCGAUGGAGAAAAACACUUGAAUAUGCUCCCGACUCCUAUCAUCAUAUCCGUGUUGUUGCUCCAUCAUCGUCAGUCGUGGCGGUUGGUAGGUUGGUUGGUGGAACCCACUUUUCCAUACACUUCUUGUGGGAUUUUUUGAGAAUCUUCAUCCAGUUUCUCCGUAGGUACCACCAACAUAACCAAGACGAGCAAAGCCGGGAGAGCGAAACCUCCACGCUGCCGGCCGCAUUCCACGUCCCUUUCGAACUGGCUGGGUUAAAGUGUAUAUUGUAUGUACAUCGAAAUUCCAGCAUCAUAAAUGAGGCACGGUAAAGUAAACACAUGCGCGUUUACCAAGAGAAAGAGAGCGCUCUGAAGAGGUAUCAGCCAUGCAAUGUGCUACGAGGAGAUAUUGGGCCAAGGUGUUAACUCAAGAUUAAAGUAUCUACAAUAAUUUGAUGAUAUUCAAAACACUCAAUAUACUUCAGAAUUAUUACAGAAAUUUGUGAACACUAUUAGAAAUCCUUGAACGAGCUUAAAAAUUGUGACAAUCCGAGAUAUAAGCAAAAAAACUCCGUCCAAGUGAUAUUCAUUUUACACCACUGCCUCCUAGUACCAUUUAUUUGUAUGGAGAAUGAGCCGUUGGAAAUUAGUGCAUUAGGUGAUAAUGUACGCUGUCCGAAAGGCAGGAAUUUACCGUGUCAGUUAGUGGUAUGUAUGUCUUCUGCUGGGGUGUAUCCAGGUUGUUGUAAACACCUUAAUACACGUGGAGCAAACACGCAUGGCCCAGAAUGUCUACUUUUGGAGCACAAGUCUUAUUUAUACACGUUUGUAUUAAACUGUAAAAUAUAAUUUGUACUACUUAAACUGUCCUCUGCAGACGUUGAUAUAUGCUUGUUUUUCUUUUGGAAAAGCUGUAAGCAGUGCGACCCCGAUAAUGUAUACAAGGACCACCAUACUACCGAAAUUUGAGUUCUUUUGACGUGACCUUAUAGUUUGGCCCUUAUUUGAGUAAAUUGAUUAACCUUACAGUAGGUAGCUUGCCUUUAAUUCCAGCAAAAUAAUAUACUUAAGAGUAGGUAAAUGCAACCCAAACUUGAGUUUUUUAACCUCAUUUUUUACAAAAAUGAUGCCCAAAUCUGGCUUUAAUUAAUUUUGGAUAAUUAUUUGGAAGCUUUUUUUAGUUAAAUAAAAACAUUAGUACUGAUGUACUAAUACAUUCUAAGAAAAUUCUCUUAGGUAAAGCUAAUUUUCCUGUUGCCAAGUAGAGCGCUCAAGUAAAAUUCCACCUUUUUCCGUAAGUAAUUUUGACAUUUGUUUAACUGACAGCAAUUUAACGAAACGAUGCUGUAAGAAGGAUGCGAAGAAAAGGGCAUCAAAUUGUUUACGAUUUGGACUUAGAGAAAUUUCGUUUCGUUCGUUUCCUCAGGAAAUGUUAUUGAAAUCGAAUGUACUUUUUCGCGCGCUUGUGGGAAAAAUGAUUCAAUAAUUCUUUAAAUUGAAGAAGAGAGAGUCGAUGAAGAGAACUCUCAAUCUAGAAUUUAUAACUUUACACCGUCUUCGACCAUUGCUGGCCUUUUCUGGGGAAAAUCCUCGGGAAAAUUCAAAUAGUGAGAUGCCAACGGAGUUGCGAAGCUUUCCACGGAAAAUAAUGAUGAGAGACAUUGCGCUGGGAUUCUGGGGGAACUUUUAAUGGUAUAACAGCGAGAACUAUGGAUAGAUACUAAUUAUAAAUUCUGCGGACUACGGUGGGAGGAAUUCUGCUGGGACUCUGGCGGUUACUUCAUGGAGUUUUUGAAUAAAUACUGGGACAAAGCUUCACGGGAAAUUUUAUGAAGAUCCACGAAGGAUUCUUUGUGAUGAAUCUUCUGGCAUACGAAGGAUUUUAUCUGGGAUUUUGCAGAAAAUCCUCUUGAAAUUCUUCCAGGUGUUCCACCGGAACAUCCACUAGGAGUUCGCCGGGGAAUUUCUACAAAACAACCUUCCAUGAAGGAUCUAGUGUUUUUUUUUUCAGGAUUUAAUAGCAUGGGAUCUUGUAGGAGUUCCUUCAGGGUUUUCUCCAGAGGUGUUUUCUAAUAUUCUACCAGGAGUUUUUUUGAACCAUCCUCCAUUAACUUUAACCGGGAUUUCUUUAGUAUUUUUUUUCCGGGAUUCACUCAGAUAUUCAUUCGGAGAUUCCUUCCGGGAUCAUUCCAAGAGUUCCGUCUAGGAAUUCUACAGGAAUGCAUUAUAAGAUUUCUCCAGGGUUUUUUUUCUAAAAUAGAACUAUUUGGGAUCCCUCUAGGUUUUCUCUGGGCAUUUCUUAUAUGAAUCCUCAAAGAAUUCCUUUUGGGAUUUCUACAGGAAUUGUUUAUCAAAUUUAUCUAUAGUUUCUUCUGGUUUUUCUCCAGGAUUUUCUUUUAAGAUCACACCUGGAGUGGCAUCAGGGAGAUUUCUCCAAAGAUUCCUCCAGGAAUUCCUCCGAAGAUUUCUUCAGAAAUUCCUCCUGAGAUUUCUCCAAUAAUUCCUCCGGAGAUUCCUGCAGUAUUUUUUUCGGAAACUCCUCAGGGAAAACCUUCCGGAGAUUCCUCCAUAAAUGCCUCUAAAAAUCCCUCCAGGAAUUCCUCCGGAAAUUCUUCCAGGAAUUCCUGAAGGAAUCUCCGAAGAAAUUAAUGUAGGAAUCUUUAUAGGAACUCCUGGAGGAGUUUCCGCAGGAACCGCCAGAGGAAUUCCUGAAGGAAUCUUCGAAGCAAUCCCGCAGGAAUCUCCGAAAGAAUUUCUGGAGGAAUCUCCGUAGGAAUUCCUGAAGGAAUCUUCGAAGGAAUGCCUGGAGGAAUCUCCGAAGAAACUACUGCAGAAAUCUCUUGAGAAAUUCUUGGAGGAAUCGUGGAAUUCUUGGAGGAAUCUCCGGAAGAAUUCUUGGAGGAAUCUCCGGAGAAGUUCUUGGAGGAAUUUCCGGAGGAAUUCUCGUAGGAAUCUCCGCAGGAAUUCUCAAAGGAAUAUCCGCAGGAAUUCUCGGAGGAAUCUCCACCGGAAUUCUCGGAGGAAUCUCCGCGGGAAUUCUCCAAGGAAUCUCCGGAAGAAUUCUCGGAGGAAUCUCCGGAAGAAUUCCCGGAGGAAUCUCCGGAAGAUUUCCCGGAGGAAUCCCCGGAAGAAUUCCCGGAUGAAUUUUCGGAAUAAUUCCCGGAGGAAUCUCCGGAAGAAUUCCCGAAGGAAUUUCCGGAAGAAUUCCCGGAGGAAUCUCCGGAAGAAUUCACGAAGGAUUCUCCGGAAGAAUUCCCGGAGGAAUUUCCGGAAGAAUUCCCGGAGGAAUCUCUGGAGGAAUUCCUGAAAGAAUCUCCGGAGGAAUUCCUGGAAGAAUCUCCGGAGGAAUAAAUUAUUAGAGAAAUCUUAGAAGGAAUUUCUGAAGUUAAAAGACAAUUACACCGUCUUCGACCAUUGCGGGCCUCUUCAGACUGAACAUAACUAACAUUCGACAACGGACAACACCAAGGUUGCAACCAUUCAUUUGCAAAAAAUUACAUUCAUUUGCUAUUAUCUCAGUUCAGAAGUAUGCUAUCGAAAAACAAUGUAUGGAUGAAUUUAACCUUGUAGUUUUAUCUGAAAGUUUGCCGAAUAACAUUGGGGUCGCACACGCAUUCCAAAGUCGUGAGGGAGAUGUGAAGGCAACUUUCCACAGCGUGAAUGAAAUUUAUAUUCACCAAUAUACGGCGAACCCAGCAUCCAGAAGGUGGCCAAAGCCGGAAGGAUACGGUGGGCAGGGCGCGUUGCAAGAAUGCCGGAUAACAACCCUUGUUAGGGAGUAUAUUCGGACCUCUUAAUUGAAUCGCACGAUGAUGUUCCUGUGCCGAGCUCUUUAAGCUGGGGAAGACGUUUAUUAAUAACAAAAGGCAGUUUUACUCAACUAAUGGCAACUUACAAACCGGUCUCCUUGGUGAUAUCUUCCCCAACGAUAUUUAAUUCAAACUUUCUUCAGCAAGACUAAUUGGACUAUUCUUAUACCUGCUAAAUCAUAGAAUUUAUGUUCUUGGUUUUAGGUGGAGAUAUCGAGAACUUACAGUCAACGAAUCCAAUUCUUUCGCGAGCAUAGACGUUCAGAUGAAUCGUAUCCUACGGUAACCUAUUCUCGGUAGAGCAAGAAACUAAUUCAAAUUCGAUACAAUAACUGGUGAACAACUUUAGAUAAAUUUGCAAUAAUAAUUACUACCAAAUCAAUCCUAUACAGCUGCUGCUACGUAGAUGACUUGCGAUAUCACUUCUCUAUCUUCUCAUCCUGACAUUCGAUACGCCACACUGACAUUCGGUACGAAUCGAACUACGCGAGAUUGAUGUCAAUUGGUGCGCGCGGAGUCCGAUCGGGGGGUGUCUCGGAUCGAUUCAGUAUUCAAAUUAUCAGUGCUGCCAGCGUUGGCAACAACCCUGCAAAGUUGGUGUUUGCUACCCAUCCGGUUGGUACAAGAAGGCGUGGAGCGCAGAGAGCACGAUGGGCGGACCAGGUGGAGCGUGAUCUGGCGAGUGUUGGGCGCGACCGAGGUUGGAGAGCUGCAGCUGCAAAUCGAGUAUUAUGGCGGCAAAUUGUUGAUUCAGUAUUAUCAUGAAUUUGAUGUUAACUAAAUAAAUGAACUCAGACCAUAUCUGAACCGGUAUUGUUCCGCAACCGGUGAACCAAAUCCGUGCUUGCGACACAUCGAAUUAAUCGCGCCUUUUUCGAUAUCCUGAUGAACAAUUACGUAGAAAAUAGGCUCAGACUACAUUAGAAACUACCGGUAGGGUUCCGAAACCGGUUCUGGGUGUCCCAUCGGAAGUGGUCAAAUGCAAAAGAGAACCAAACCCAUACAUGCAGAUGCAACAUAUCAAAUGGCCUUUAGGUAACCUAAAGAACGGUUAAAGAUAGACUCAGACCAUAUCCAAACCUAUCCAUAUCCUACCGGAAGCGGUAAAGUGUAUAAGGGAACCAAACCCACGCGACACAUCAAUUUGGGGUAUUUUCGAUAACCUGCUGAAUGGUGUGCAAGUCAAUAGCAUCAGGUCACUUUAUAGACUACCCGUAGUGUUCCAAAACCAGUUUCUGGUGUUCCACCGAAAAUGGUCAAAUGUAAAAGUGAGUCAUACCCAUUAGGCCUGUCCAGCUUUUCAAAAAUGUUCUCUGAUUCUCAAGUCCACCCCCAUAUUUUGAUUAGCAUCCUAUAAGAAGUAACUGGUCAAAAUUUCAGCCAAAUCCAUUGAAAUUAAGAGGUGCAUCAAAUCAAUUUUGUGUUUUUCGACUAUUUUUGAACUUCAAAAAAUCAUAACUACACUAAAACAUGUCAAAACUUAAUUCUUUCGGCAGAAAUUGAAAGCUAUACUUGUUUGCUACAACUUCUCCGAACAACGUGUGCCAAUAAACCCGAAUAAAAAAUACAGUAGAAAAACCGAAUGUUGUAUUGUAACAGUACUAUUUAAAACCAUAUUGUUACAAUAAACACCACUGUAAAAAUAAAAAAUACAAAAACAAUAAGAUGUAAUGUUAGACACCAUACAGUGAAUUGUAAAUGAGAUUUUUACAAUAUACUAUACGGGUUGUUAAGUAUCGUAACAAUAUAAAAAAAUAUUUUUCUCCAUAUAUAUUUUUUUACAAAACCAUACAUUUUAUUGUAAAUGAAUUGUUCGAAAUACUGAUACGUGGGCUUUAAUAUACCGUACAUUGUAUGGUACACGUAUGGUUUCAAACAAUAGAAUGUACCGUAAAUAUAUUGUUUUUAAUUGUAAUUUCACUACUGGUUAUAAAUUUAAUCAUGGUUUUGGAAUGGUUCUAAGGGCCCAUAUAGCCGAGGCGGUAAACGCACGGGUAUUCAGCAUGACCAUGCUGAGGGUGACGGGUUCGAUUCCCGGUCGGUCCAGGAUCUUUUCGUAAAGGAAAUUUCCUUGACUUCCUUGGGCAUAGAGUAUCUUCGUGCCUGCCACACGAUAUACGCAUGCAAAAUGGUCAUUGGCAGAGGAAGCUCUCAGUUAAUAACUGUGGAAGUGCUCAUAGAACACUAAGCUGAGAAGCAGGCUUUGUCCCAAUGAGGACGUUACGCCAAGAAGAGAGAGAGAGGAAUGGUUCUCUUUUGUUAUGUUGUAUUGUUUUACAUUAGAUAAACCAUAUAAUGUUAUAUUAUCUCGUCAUGUUCCUUCGAUAAUGGCAGUUCUAGCCAAACUAACCUAAACUCGUCUAAGUCUGAGUAGCCUCUCAUUGCAUUAACAGUUGAAGCUUAAGCUCCCAUGUCCCACCAGCCAGAUAACCGGGUUUUGCAAACUAAGCAUUAUUUGUGGCAACACUUUGAGCGGCAUGAUGGAACUAUGCCUAGCACGCUAAGUGUUAUUAGACCACUAAUGUAGUUGCAUGAAGUGGGUGACGAGGUACAUAAGUAUCAUUACAGCGUGCUUAACCAUUAUUGCAAUAUUGAGGCUCCAAUUUGACUGAACUAUGAAAUGUGUACAUAACAACUCAUGAGAAAACUGUCAAGUUCGAUUCAACUAUAAGUUAGGUUAAAAAGCGAAGACGAACUUAUUUCAGAAGUCGUUUCAGUGUCCAGUCCAGUCCUUAUGUUAAAAAUGUCAUAGAUAAAUCGCAUUUAAUUCGGUUCUUGUACAAGGCAAUCUCACAUGAGAGAAGAAGAGAAAGAAUAGUGUUGAACUCAUCCACUGAUUUACGGUAAUCUGGCCUGCGUCUUUCCGGGUUGACCUACAUUCGUAUUCCUCUCAUCGCACUCUACAUACCUAGCCCACCAUAUCUCUUGGAUAUGCAGUCCUUAGGACACCUGGUUUACCACUUUAUUUAAACAUUUUAUUGACUUUAAAUAGAUGUUUCAACUUAUUCACUUUUUUCUCUUUCAUUUCCUUUGCAACAAAAAUGUCACGGACAUCAACAAAACAAAGCACGGAAAAAAUCAUAAACUGAAUAAAAAAUUAAAAAUGCACGGAAAAAGAUUGUUUCGGAAUAGUGAAUGGUUCAAACGUAAGAAAAACAGUAUAAUAUAUUGUUACAUAAAGAUCGGAUGUAAAUGUAAUAGCUACCAAUGUGCAAAGCUUUUAGCGAACCAUUCCAUUACAAUACACUAUAUUGUAGCUGGUACACUGUAUGGUACAGGAAUGGUUUUCACCAAAUACCCUAUGGUUAGUUUUUAUCCGGGAAAUUGAAGGAAACAUGUGUAAUUAUCACAUUUGUAAUCAGAAAAACCUUAAAAAGUUGAUUUUUUGAUAGAUUUUGUUCUGGAAUACGUAAUAAGUUGGAUUUUUCAAAACGGCAUCAUAUUCUCCAAUGUUUUUUGGUUAUUUGCUUCUUUGGCACCAAUGCUGUAGGAGUUGAGCAAAAAUUACUAAAAUUCGUGAAAGCCAAAUGUGGCCUAAAAACUAGCUUUUCGGGUGCAAUCACGCUUUGGCGCGCAAAAAGUGGCAUCGCGUCAGCACUGAUAUGAUAGCCAACACCUGUCAUCGCGCUUGUUUGUUAUCACCCGUGGUAGGGGGUAGCCAAGGCAAACUACUAGGAAGCAAAGCUACUACGUUCAGUACAAUUUCGCGCCACAACGUGAUUGCCUCCAAAAAGCUAGUUUUUAGGCCACAUUUGACUUUCACGAAUUUUAGUAAUUUUUGCUCAACUCCUACAGCAUUGGUGUCAAAGAAGCAAACAACCAAAAAACAUUGGAGAAUAUGAUGCCGUUUUGAAAAAUCCAACUUUUUAAGUAUAUUAGGGUGUUCCAGAACGAAAUCUAUCAAAAAAUCAACUUUUUAAGGUUUUUCUGAUUACAAAUGUGAUAAUUACACAUGUUUCCUUCUAUUUUAUUGGCACACGUUGUUCGGAGAAGUUGUAGCAGACAAGUAUAGCUUUCAAUUUAUGCCGAAAGAAUUAAGUUUUGACAUGUUUUAGUGUAGUUAUGAUUUUUUGAAGUUCAAAAAUAGUCGAAAAACACAAAAUUGAUUUGAUGCACCUCUUAAUUUCAAUGGAUUUGGCUGAAAUUUUGACCAGUUACUUCUUUUAG
This is a long non-coding RNA of Aedes albopictus (Asian tiger mosquito), 11294 nucleotides long. RefSeq lists it as uncharacterized. The record is from RefSeq and is a predicted model, not a curated record. Lineage: Eukaryota; Metazoa; Arthropoda; Insecta; Diptera; Culicidae. The transcript has 2 exons.